UUGCUUGUUAGUCCAUGUUUGCAUUUACAAUUGUAUGUAGCUGUUUCUCAAUUUGACGUGUGUAUGGAAAACCCUUUUAUCAGGUGGUGUUGUUUUUCACAAAGCCGUGGUACUGCAAAAGAUGGUCUAUCUCAGUAGCCAAUAGUGCAAAGAAGACACCAGAUGUUGUAUUCGUGAAGAUUGAUGCUUAUCAGCUGAAGUUAUGCCACUUUUUAACCUUGCUUGCUUUAACAAUUCCGAUCGGUUUUCUUGAAUUGGAAAUUUGAUUUGGUAAAAAAUAUCAAUAUGUUGUGUAUGCAGGCUGUUGCUGAUAAAUACGUAAUUGAUGAUAUGCCCACGUGCGUGAUUCUGAAAAAAGGGAAGGAAGUGAAUAGGUAUGUAUGUGCUAAGAUGAAUAAACUGCGGAGCAAAAUGGACCAACAUCUCUCUUCUUCUUCCCCGUCUUUGGUAGUUAAUUGAGAUUUGAGAUUGUGAAAUAAAAAACGUGUAUGUUUUAAUCAUUUUUUGGCAAAACAGAAGAAUAAAAGAAAGUUGAGUAGUUUAAAAUAUUAACAAGGGUCAGUGCAAAGGUUCGAUAUGUUUGAAAAAUAAAAUGAGAAGAUAUCUAUGUUGCAUUUCAACGCAUUUCAUCUAUAUAUAUCAUUAGACUAUUCUCUAUUUAUAUUUCGUUUGUUUUGAUAUAUUUUUAUUUUUUUAAAUAUUGUUAAUGGAGUUCAAAAUCUAUUUUGAAGACAAAACUUAAUUACCUGUGCUGGACUAAGUCCAUU
This 767-nucleotide long non-coding RNA is filed under the name Erythranthe guttata (spotted monkey flower). Its description in RNAcentral is "long non-coding RNA (EGUT_LNC001234)". The record is from RNAcentral. Lineage: Eukaryota; Viridiplantae; Streptophyta; Magnoliopsida; Lamiales; Phrymaceae.